Molecule: ribosomal RNA, 253 nt
Filed under: Pseudoalteromonas sp. Shant 137
Lineage: Bacteria; Pseudomonadati; Pseudomonadota; Gammaproteobacteria; Alteromonadales; Pseudoalteromonadaceae
Description: partial 16S ribosomal RNA
Rfam family: Bacterial small subunit ribosomal RNA
Source: RNAcentral
UUAGUUCGAUGCAUCGCGAAGAACCUUACCUACACUUGACAUACAGAGAACUUACCAGAGAUGGUUUGGUGCCUUCGGGAACUCUGAUACAGGUGCUGCAUGGCUGUCGUCAGCUCGUGUUGUGAGAUGUUGGGUUAAGUCCCGCAACGAGCGCAACCCCUAUCCUUAGUUGCCAGCGAUUCGGUCGGGAACUCUAAGGAGACUGCCGGUGAUAAACCGGAGGAAGGUGGGGACGACGUCAGUCAUCAUGGCC